This 305-nucleotide ribosomal RNA is filed under the name uncultured bacterium. RNAcentral describes it as "partial 16S ribosomal RNA". It matches the Rfam family "Bacterial small subunit ribosomal RNA", at positions 505 to 807 of the family's 1533-position model. The record is from RNAcentral.
ACAGCAGUAGCCACGGGAAUACGUAGGUGGCAAGCGUUGUCCGGAAUUAUUGGGCGUAAAGGGCUCGCAGGCGGUUUCUUAAGUCUGAUGUGAAAGCCCCCGGCUCAACCGGGGAGGGUCAUUGGAAACUGGGAAACUUGAGUGCAGAAGAGGAGAGUGGAAUUCCACGUGUGGCGGUGAAAUGCGUAGAGAUGUGGAGGAGCACCAGUGGCGAAGGCGACUCUCUGGUCUGUAACUGACGCUGAGGAGCGAAAGCGUGGGGAGCGAACAGGAUUAGAUACCCCUGUAGUCCCUGUCUCUUAUAC